CCGCGUCCCCAAGUCAGGCGUGAAUACCCG
This 30-nucleotide ribosomal RNA is filed under the name Juniperus mucronata. RNAcentral's name for it is "partial 26S ribosomal RNA". Lineage: Eukaryota; Viridiplantae; Streptophyta; Pinopsida; Cupressales; Cupressaceae. The record is from RNAcentral.